RNAcentral lists this transfer RNA (66 nucleotides) under Tenebrionoidea sp. 12 KM-2017. Its description in RNAcentral is "tRNA-Asp". The record is from RNAcentral. Lineage: Eukaryota; Metazoa; Arthropoda; Insecta; Coleoptera.
AAAAAUUUAGUUAAUUUAUAACAUCAAUUUGUCAAAUUGAAAUAAAUAUAUAAAUAUUAGUUUUUA